RNAcentral lists this long non-coding RNA (244 nucleotides) under Lathyrus oleraceus (garden pea). Its description in RNAcentral is "Pisum sativum (pea) long non-coding RNA (PSAT_LNC036513)". Lineage: Eukaryota; Viridiplantae; Streptophyta; Magnoliopsida; Fabales; Fabaceae. The record is from RNAcentral.
UUCUGGGCAGCCAAGAAUUGCUCCAUCAGAGCGCUCAAUCUGGCGACCUCUUUUUUCAGCUCUCGAUUCUCUUGUUCAAGUUGAUCCAUCACUCUUGCAGAAUUAGCUCGGGUGUAGUACUGAUGAGUCAGCUUGUCUUCAAAAUAAAUGAAGAUCACAGAGUUAGGCCACAGACAAGAAGACCAGAACAACACCUGCUUAUGCGAAAUGAUGCAUGCGAUGCUCGUGCAUAUGCUUUGUUUUU